Long non-coding RNA from Felis catus (domestic cat), 2557 nucleotides. RefSeq lists it as uncharacterized. The transcript is spliced from 2 exons. The record is from RefSeq and is a predicted model, not a curated record. Lineage: Eukaryota; Metazoa; Chordata; Mammalia; Carnivora; Felidae.
AGGGGCAGGUAUCCUGUGCCUGCCUUUGCCACUUCUCACAGGCAUCCUGAGGCUUGUGAUCAUGAGCAAAAGGAUGGAUGUGUGACAGCGGGGUAGAAGGCCAGUACACGGGUGAGCCUCACUGUCAAAGAGGAGAGGAGGGUAGAGCCUGAAGACGCACCUCCCUGACCUCUAAGCCCACGGCCAAACCUCAUGCCUAGGACCCUGGACUUCCUGAAGCUCUUCGAUGAGCCCUUGGUCUUGUCCCCACUCUUACAGGGGAGGAAACUGAGGCAGGGAACUAGAGCAGCAGCCCCUUCUGGCUGGGGCACCCCAAAGUCAGUUUUUUCUCCACAGAUGGGAUGCUUCUCUGCCCAAAUCCCUUUUCCAAAGGGCUCAAGACAUCACAGUUCCUUUCUGAUGUCAGGGACAGCUGGCUUGGCCUGCGCAGAGCCUCCCAGUUUAGGCCUCUGGUCGUGAGCCAGGUCCUUAUGAAACAGAGCAGAGGGGCGGACUGCUGGGCUUAAUGAGCCAGGUGUAUGUGGCCGAGCUGGCUGCAGGGUGUGCUGGCCAGCUGGGGACAGCUGUGGCUCUCCUGUGUGUACACAGUGCUGUGGGGGCUGGAUAAAUUGUUCCCAGUGAACAGCAGAGAGGAGAGGGCAGAAGCGGCUGGGGCACUAGAAUAAGAAGGCCCUGAAACCUGGGGGCUUCCAGAAGGCACCUGGAACAUACAGGGGAAGGCAGAGGCUCUGGAUGUCUCAAAGGGCAGGCAAUGGGCUGCCUCCAACAGAGUCAUCACGGGGCCUGUUAAAUGCCAAUUCCUAGGGCACCCCUACCCCCAGCCACUGGGUCAGGAUCUCUGCAGGCAAGACAGAAAUUGAAACUUUAAAUCAAUCAGCACAUGGGAAUACAAGAACCACUGCCUUACUGGGUUAACUUGGCCAGAACUGGGGGUGGGGGUGCGUCAUCCGAAGUCUGGCUCAGGUGGAUCCAAACACGAAAGCGAAUAAAGAGGAGGGGGCGGUUGCUACAAAGGGCGAAGUCCAGAAUACGACCAACCUACUGGCCUGGCUCCCAGAGGUGUUGAAAACACUUCCCCCCAAGGCUUCCUCACCGCCUCCCUGCUACUCCCACACCCCCGGGUCCCUCAAACCAUGUCCAAAGUUCAACAGUUUCAAAGAGGCAGCCCUGAAGUGAAGGAACAAACAUGGCCUUUGGCAACAGCAGGUUGGGUUUCCAAUCUGGACUGCCAAGGCCCUGUGAGCUGUGUGGCCUUGGAAGGGUCCCGGGAGGGCCCUUGUGAUGUGGUCCCUUAGGGCCUGGGUGAGGAUAACACAGGUCUAUGUGUGUCAAGGCCAAGCGCAUUGUGGUUCUCAGGAAUAAGGAUUCCUUCCUCUUUCCCACUCCCUACCCAGCCACACACCCACCCUUCCCUUUGUUCCUUUCUCUGUUAUGCAACCAAAGUUUAAAUCCUUCGUAGAUUCACUGCCAGCAAACAGCAAAACAGUGGCCUGGCAAAGGGAGGUUUCGAAAGCCACAUUGCCCACAUUCUUGUCCACGUGCUCUAGGACAGGACCUCUGCACUCUUUCCCCAAUAUCGCAAAGAGCCCCGUAAGUGGUUACUUCGCCGAAUCGCCGAGCUGUGGCCAGCUGUUGCUAUGGCGACCAGAACCCGCUGACAACCAUCUCGAAGGGCCUCUGAGGAGGAGACUGCUUGGCUUCCAUUCACGCGCAGUUCAAACGGCUCGCCCACAGGUCACCCUGCCUGGGACAGAUGCCUAAGGCCUCUCCCAUUACCUACCAGCUCAGGCUGGAGAGGAGGAGGAGGCCAGUCACAGGGACUGAGGGGCUCACCUGGGAGUCUGUAUAUGCUGGGGAGCCAACAAAGGUUGCAUGCGGCAUGUGCACUUUGGAUCAGAAGAGCCUGGGUUCUCAGGAGAGAAGCCACGAGGAUCUUCACUGGGCAGGGCCAGUAGGGAGGAACUGAGGACCUGGCCAGAGAGGCACUGUAGAGGCCCUACGAUGGGCCUUUAGUGACAGAAGAGAGAGUGAGGGUGAAGGAGGAAGGGAAGGUUCUGGCAUAUGAAGUGACUGUGUAAGUCCUGGAGCAGGGGACAUUGGCCACCAUUCUCCAGGGUGGCCCUCAGUGAUCUCACCUCCUGAUAUCCCACACUAUAUCAGGACUGGCCUAUGUGACCACGAGCCACACAGGAAGGAGGAUGACAUAUGACCCAAAGCUAGGCCAUCAAAGACAUUGCAACUUUUCUGCCUUACUUCCUUUUCUCUGAUCAGCUCUGGGGAAAAGCCAGCUGCUACACUGUGGGAAUACAUAGCCUCAAGAAGAGGCCCUCACGGCAUAGGACUGGGGCCUUCUGCCAAAACCCAGCGAGAUGCUGGGCUCUCCCACCAAUGGCUGUGCGAGCGAGCGGGAAACAGACCCUCCGGCCCCAGUCGGCUUCAGAUGCUGGCAGCCCCACCUGUAACCUCAAGGCAGGCCUUGAGCCAAACCAUCCAGCUAAGCUGCUCCGAAUUUUCUGACCCACAACAACCGUGAGAUAAUAAAUGUUUGCUAUUCCAA